GACGCCGACCGACGGGUCGGACGGCCGGCUGCAACCCGGACGGCGUGGGUUCAACUCCCGCCGGCGUCU
Molecule: transfer RNA, 69 nt
Filed under: bacterium
Lineage: Bacteria
Description: tRNA-Cys
Rfam family: tRNA
About the family: Transfer RNA (tRNA) molecules are approximately 80 nucleotides in length. Their secondary structure includes four short double-helical elements and three loops (D, anti-codon, and T loops).
Source: RNAcentral